CGAUUUGGUGGCGUUCGCGGUUGUAGA
This 27-nucleotide small RNA is filed under the name Bombyx mori (domestic silkworm). RNAcentral's name for it is "ovarian small RNA-14294". The record is from RNAcentral. Lineage: Eukaryota; Metazoa; Arthropoda; Insecta; Lepidoptera; Bombycidae.